RNAcentral lists this ribosomal RNA (360 nucleotides) under Lactiplantibacillus plantarum. RNAcentral's name for it is "bacterial SSU rRNA". It matches the Rfam family "Bacterial small subunit ribosomal RNA", at positions 1 to 333 of the family's 1533-position model. The record is from RNAcentral. Lineage: Bacteria; Bacillati; Bacillota; Bacilli; Lactobacillales; Lactobacillaceae.
UAAUUUGAGAGUUUGAUCCUGGCUCAGGACGAACGCUGGCGGCGUGCCUAAUACAUGCAAGUCGAACUAACUCUGGUAUUGAUUGGUGCUUGCAUCAUGAUUUACAUUUGAGUGAGUGGCGAACUGGUGAGUAACACGUGGGAAACCUGCCCAGAAGUGGGGGAUAACACCUGGAAACAGAUGCUAAUACCGCAUAACAACUUAGACCGCAUGGUCCGAGUUUGAAAGAUGGCUUCGGCUAUCACUUUUGGAUGGUCCCGCGGCGUAUUAGCUAGAUGGUGAGGUAACGGCUCACCAUGGCAAUGAUACGUAGCCGACCUGAGAGGGUAAUCGGCCACAUUGGGACUGAGACACGGCCCA